MicroRNA precursor from Myotis lucifugus (little brown bat), 84 nucleotides. Lineage: Eukaryota; Metazoa; Chordata; Mammalia; Chiroptera; Vespertilionidae. The record is from Ensembl.
GGCUGUGGCUGGAUUCAAGUAAUCCAGGAUAGGCUGUUUCCACCUGUGAGGCCUAUUCUUGAUUACUUGUUUCUGGAGGCAGCU